AUCCUGGCUCAGAUUGAACGCUGGCGGCAUGCCUUACACAUGCAAGUCGAACGGCAGGCACGGGGCAACCUGGUGGCGAGUGGCGAACGGGUGAGUAAUGCAUCGGAACGUGCCAUUGAGUGGGGGAUAACGUAGCGAAAGUUGCGCUAAUACCGCAUAUUCUGUGAGCAGGAAAGCAGGGGACCGCAAGGCCUUGCGCUCUUUGAGCGGCCGAUGUCAGAUUAGCUAGUUGGUGAGGUAACGGCUUACCAAGGCGACGAUCUGUAGCGGGUCUGAGAGGAUGAUCCGCCACACUGGAACUGAGACACGGUCCAGACUCCUACGGGAGGCAGCAGUGGGGAAUUUUGGACAAUGGGCGCAAGCCUGAUCCAGCCAUGCCGCGUGAGUGAAGAAGGCCUUCGGGUUGUAAAGCUCUUUCGGCCGGGAAGAAAUCGCAUGGGUUAAUACCCUGUGUGGAUGACGGUACCGGAAUAAGAAGCACCGGCUAACUACGUG
Molecule: ribosomal RNA, 495 nt
Filed under: uncultured bacterium
Lineage: Bacteria
Description: bacterial SSU rRNA
Rfam family: Bacterial small subunit ribosomal RNA
Source: RNAcentral